RNAcentral lists this long non-coding RNA (6880 nucleotides) under Paramuricea clavata. Lineage: Eukaryota; Metazoa; Cnidaria; Anthozoa; Malacalcyonacea; Plexauridae. The record is from RNAcentral.
CGAAGCUUUUAAAAACUCUCUAUUAGCUCAAUCGUCUAGCGACGCAGACUAUAGUGUGACAAUCACGUGCUAAUAUUUUGUUUUCCAAGUAGACACCGGCUUCCGUAGAAAGUUAUUCCAUAUAAGCAUAACCGCCAUAUGAAAAUCACAUGGCUGAUAUUAGUUCUCUUCGGUCCAUUCACUGAGUUCAAACAGUCUCUUGGCUGUGAGGUAUUCUAACUCUAUCAAGUAUACGCUGCAGCACCAACUGAAGGAAGCACCGCAUUCUGUUAAGAUAGAUCUAUGAUCACUGAUCACUGAUCGCUUUCGACUAAACAUUUCCACACCAGAAUAUGAGUUAUGUUGCAAGCUGUCUGUCAUUUGCUUGUGUAUAAAGUACUGUUGGAAGUUUUGCUGUUUGCCAGUCAAACAAAUGGUAUGUAAUUCGUAUAUAAGCCCGUUGGCGUUGCUGAAUGAUUUCUAUAUAUAUUAUAUAUAUAAUAUAUAUAUAUAUAUUAUAUAUAUAUUAUAUAUUAUAUAUUAUAUUAUAAGUAAAAUAUCGUAUAAUAUUUAUUCAAAUUAUGUGGUACGAGAAACACAAAUGGUGACUGAAUGGUGAAUAAAUUCGCCUUUCAGUCUCGGCUGCAUUAUAUACCUGAGUAAAUCGUCAUUUUUAUGCGUUAGCUGAAACUCCGAAUUGACUUAUUGUUUGGAUGAGCCGUGUAUAGGAGUCGUGGGGAUAAGCUUAAUUUCAAUCUUCCAAAAAAAAGGAAAUUACUCUGAUGCAUGGGAGCAAUUUUUGUGGGUGGGGAGGGAGGGAGGGAGGGAGGGGGUGGUCGUAAGCCUUCAUUGAUUGUGCUACUAAAUCGAAGGAAAGUUGCUCUACUAAAAAAUGGUGAAAGGGUGCUCAAAAGGUUCCAAAAAUUGGAAAAGGUGCUCCCAGAUUUAUGAUUUUUGCCAAUGGUAGCCAUUUUAUGUCGAAUAAGCAUGUUAAAUAUUCAAUUAAAGCAAAAUAUAGCAUAAGCUUUCUUUGGUUGACAUGAAUUUUUCGCUUUAUACGAGAAAUCGAAGAGCUUUUUAACGCCCGUAUUCUAAAAGAUCACUCACACUCAAAGAGUGGAAGUUCAAUCUGAGCUUCUCUCGAGUGUCAUUGCUGUUUUUGAAUAGCCGGAGGGUUAGUGUCGUACCUUACUAUGUGACUACUCACCCUCCAGCUAUUCCAAAACAGCAUUCGCACUCAAGAGUCAAGGGAAGCUCAGAUUGAACCUCCACUCAUUGAGUGUGAGUGAGCUUUUAGAAUACGGGCGUAAGUCUACAUGGGCGUACCGGAAGGAAAAAAUUAGGGGGGCGGAAAGAAAAUUGCCCGACUGUUCGGGAUUGUGCCCGACUAGUACCAAAAUAAUUUUUCCGGAAAAAUUAUUUUGGCGACCUCCCCCCCCCGUCGUGUACCAUUUUAGGGGGCAAAAAAAUUUUCCGGACAACCAUUAUUUUUCGGAACAUAACACAAAUUUUCGAAAAAUCACAAAAUUUGCCAAAAAAUUGACUUAAUUUUAAACAAAAUUUACAGAAUUUGUCCCAUUUUUUUUUAUUGCAAACCAAAAUUGCCCGACUGUUGAUCGAAUAUUGCCCGACUGCCCAAAAAACUGGGGGGGCUACCGCCCCCCCCCCCCGCCCCCCCGCCCGGUACGCCUAUGUAAGUCUAAGAUAGUGUUGUUUUAGUGGUGUUUUCAAUUUAGUGUUUUCAAUUUAGUUUUAGUUCAGUAUUAGUUUAAUGCAGUAAUUUAUGUUCAGUUUAGUUCUAGUUUGAAAAAGGAAUUUCUUUUUAGUUUUAGUUUAGUUCUAGUUUGAACAAGCCUUGUUACAAGCCAUCAAGGUCAAGGAUUUUUUUUUCGUUUUAGUUUAGUUCUAGUUUGAAACUGAAAUUUUAUUUUAGUUUUUGUUUAGUUCAAUUUUGAAACAGGAAUUUCAUUUUAGUUCUGGUUUAGUCCUAGCUAAGCAAACAUUUAGUUUUAGUUUUCAGUGGUUCAAAUAUGUACGAAAAUGUUUGUGCAAAGGCCACUACUAGGCCAGGAAAGACCGGCCAAAUAUUAUAUAUUCAAAAUCAGGCAUUGCAUGUUAUUUCGAAUUCAAAAUUGCUUGAUUUACCAGACAACUUUAUAAAUAAACCAGGGUCGAGGUUUCGAAAAAUUGUUUCGGUUUUCCAGGAACAGGAAGUAUAUAAAAUCAUAGGCGGAAACUUCGCUACAGUUCACGAUCGUGUACAAAGUCCCCUCGAAGGCCAAAUUUUAGGGACCGGUCAUUAUUUAUGGAAAGGGGGGAGGGGAAAAAUAGGGGGGGGGGGGNNNNNNNNNNNNNNNNNNNNGGGGGCUAUUAAAUUUUUUCAAGAAAAUGACGGGGGGGGGGGUUGUAUUUAAAUUUGAAGGAAUUUGCUUAAAUUAAUAACCUGGUAUCCAUUUCGUUGUAAAUGUUGCAACUAAAUCAUGGUCACAGGUAGUCUCCUACGCAGCCUGUUCGUGGGUCCGAGGUUUUCUCCCCCUCGGACCGGCGAACAGGCUGCGUAGGAGACUAGGUGGGUCACUGAUGUGAAAUAGUCUGGAUUUAUCUUGUCUUGUGUGUGCUGUAUGCAAAUCAGUCUUUAUGGGUUGCAGACUAGUUAAAUUGACAAUGUAUUAUUUAUAUUACAUCAGCUCUUGAUGUGGUUAAAUACAUUUAAAUUAAGUAAGGUUAACAAUGUAGGAUGCGGAUGUAUUAUGCAGGCCACAUCCGCUGAGGGGAGUCUGUGACGUCAUAUCAAUCAAAGGGGGUUGUUAGAUGCCUUGUGAUCAGCUCAUCAGCGCUUUGGUCUGGGUAUUCAUUCUGCCAUUGUAUGCUUUGCCUAGCUGCAGCAAGUUUAGCGCUUCGAUACCUUUUCCCCACGCACCCAACCAUGUUCAUUCUAAAGGAUUUUAUCUGGUAGUACAUGUCAUUUUAUUUUAUAUAAUUUUUAAUCUCACAUAAAAUAGGAUGUAUAGACCACUAUACAUUGUAUUUUGUAGGUAUGCCUUGGCAGAAUUGUCAUUGCUAUCUCCUUUUGCUGCUAAUAUUACUGAUUGUUACUCUCAUUGUUGCUGCGCAGCUGCUAUGGCAAUACUUCGUACCAUCAAGUCUAGUUGCAGCCUUAAACAUGGUUACAAUCGCCCAGACCAAAUGGAAACCUGAUUUCAGUGUUCUAUAUAAAAAUACUCCUCUUUUAAUUAUCAUUUUCUGCUAAUAUUAUAAUAUAUAUUUUUGGUCGACAUUAAUAUCUUGCCAGUUCCAUAUUCUUAUUUAAUAAUUAACACUAUAACGCCUGGGUAUCCCUAUUUGACGAGUAAAAAUGAAAAUGGGGGGGGGGUCAAAGAAAAAUAUUCUAAUAUGCAGGGGGGUAAUCAUUAAAUUUCUGCUCUUUUAGGGGGGCUUUCAAUUUUAAAAAUUUAGAAAAGAAAAAAUUCCCCUCCCCCCCUUCCAUAAAUAAUGACCAGUCCCUUAUAUUUCAAAAAAUAGAUAAAAAACUCAAUACAAUCUGUUAACUAAUUAAAUUCUGUCGUUUAGUUUUAGCCGUUGAUGGUAAUUUUGCUUUUAGUUCAAGUUUAGUUCCAGUACUUGCUGCUGAUUUUGCUUUAGUUCUAGUAUAGUUCUAGUAUUUAUCUUCGUUAAAUCGCUUUAGUUCUGGUUUAGUUUUAGUAUUUAUCUCUUUAAUUUAUUUAGAUUUUAGUUCUAGUUAGUUUUAUAGUUGACUAAAUUAUUUUCGCACGACUAAAAUAGGGUUUUAGUUCUAGUUCUACUUGACUAAAACAACACUACACUACGACAAGGUCGGUUCUACCAUGCCCAUGGAUAAUAAAAUAAAUUUAUUUUAUUAUCCAUGGCAUACCUAAUUUUAGUGUGCGCAGUGAUAACCAAUUUGUGCAGUGAUAAAAGUAAAGUGUGCAGUGAUAAAAUGUAAAAUGUCCAAUGAUAAAAUUUACUGUGACAAAUUGUUAAGUAAGAAGAAAAUGAUGCAAUGAGCAGAAGAACUGAACUAAAAAUUCGUCUUGUCACUUGACAGUAUUAAUCAAGACAUUUUGAAAUUUGAGAAAAUUUGAAUGAAAAUGAAUGUGUGUAUGUUGAUUUUGGGAUCAUUAUUAUAAGGGUGUGUUCAGAAAUUUUGAGGGCGCCCUUCUGCUCGGCUAAACUUUGCACAAAAAUGUUCAAUUGAAAGAGCCUCUGGCAACCAGGGUAGUAUGAUCCAUGGUUCUACAAAACAAAAAAAAUUAUUAAGAUGGCUCGAUAUAUUAAUACACAAAACCCGUUUACAAGAAUCGCGAAAACAGAACGUUGUGUUUUAUAUAUGAACAGACCCGCGGACUUGACUGUCCAGUUGGACUGGGCUGGACUGGACUGAUUUUUACAUUUUCUCUAUUCUUGACUUGCACGUCAGCCAUGUCAGAUUGUCAGGUGGCAUGGCACAAAAGAAUAUUUUAUCACAGAAUAGAUAUACCAUGUCAUGUCUAUUUUGUGAUUUUAUCAAUGAACAUUGUCUGGUGUGUACCAGGAGAUUGGUUGCAAGUCAAGAAUAUAACGUUUUGCAUGCACCUGAAUUAGUUUUGAUUUUCGGAAAUUGAAAUACUUCACCUUCGCCGAUGAACUCACUUUAUAACUGGAGUGAAAUCCUUAAAGUGAAAGAAAGCUUAGUAAGUAGAAUAGAAUACAAUAGCGAGCGUAAGCAUGUAGGACGGCAACACGACGACGACGGCCAAAACAAAUUCCUUCAAAUAAAUUAUAGUAAAGAAAACUUGUCGUAUAUUAUAAUUCGUAUGAAUUUAAUACAGUAUAAGAAGCUGAAAACAUUGGCUUUAUGUUUGGGAUAGUUCUACUGACCGAAUUUUAAGUUGCACUGUCUUGCUACGGCUUGAAAUGCAGGCGUUGUAUAAAAGACGUGAAAAUCUGUGAUUUGUCGUUGUAAACAGAACGACGACCACGUCUGAAACUCCCCUGGGACUUUAAUGAUUUAUUUCUUUUCAUUGACUCAUUGUAUUGGUUAAUGCCGUCGUCGUCGUGUUGCCGUCCUACAUGCUUAAGCUCCCUAUUACCAAACAAAAACUACUUAUCUGUCGUUGCUAUGGGUAGCCUGCUCGCAUGCGUAUUUAAUUUCGAUAUUUCAGUCUGCAUAGCUAUAGGCGUAGGAAUAUCGAUAAUUGGGGAGCUCAUAUUCAUAUACUCGUGUUCACAGACCGUAAAAACAAUUAAUUUCAAAAGAAUAAUAAGCGAAUAAUGCAGAACACCAAUAUAUGGAUAUGAGCUCCCCAAUUAUCAAUCUUCCUACGCCUAUGGCUAUGCAGACUGAAAUAUCUGUAUGCGAGCAGGCUGCCCAUAGCAACGAUAGAUAAGUAGUUUUUGUUUGGUAUUGUAUUCUAUUCUACUUACUAGGCUUUCUUUCGCUUUAAGAGAUUUCACUCCAGUUAUAAAGUUAGGUCAUCGGCGAAGGUAAAGUAUUUCAAUUUCCGAAAAUCAAAAGUAACUCAGGUGCAAAACGUUAUAUUCUUGACUUGCAACCAAUCUCCUGGUACACACCAGACAAUGUUCAUUGAUAAAAUCACAAAAUAGACAUGGCAUGGUAUAUCUAUUCUGUGAUACAGUAUUCUUUUGUGCCAUGCCACCUGACAUGGCUGACGUGCAAGUCAAGAAUAGACAGUGGCGUAGGAAGUAUCAAAAGAUUGGGGGGGGGGCACCGGCUUCCAGGGGCACUUUUGGAUAUUGAAAAGGCACCUAAAAAAUUUUUCCCGGAAAUGUUGGCAAGGAGGGGGGGGGAGAUUUUCCCGUCAUACUAUACCGAAAUUGCACGUUUUUGACCUAAUUUUUUUUUUAAAUAUCGAAAUUUCCAAACAAAAAUGGAAUCUUUGAUGUUAAUUUAGUAUUUACAGCGACAUUAGCUUGUAAAAAAGGACAAUUUUUAUCACAGACUAAAGGGCACUUUUAGUCCUUUGCCCUUGAGAAUUGAGAAAAUGUAAAAAUCAGUCCAGUCCAACUGUCCAGUCCAGUCCAACUGUCCAGUCCAACUGUCCAGUCCAACUGUCCAGUCCAACUGUCCAGUCCAACUGUCCAGUCCAACUGUCCAGUCCAACUGUCCAGUCCAACUGUCCAGUCCAACUGUCCAGUCCAACUGUCCAGUCCACACUGUCCAGUCCAACUGUCCAGUCCAACUGUCCAGUCCAACUGUCCAGUCCAACUGUCCAGUCCAACUGUCCAGUCCAACUGUCCAGUCCAACUGUCCAGUCAAACUGUCCAGUCAAACUGUACAGUCCAUGUUUUGUACUAUGCCCAUUUUUGGGGGUCAAGACCCGCGUGUUUAUCGGCAUGAUUGACUGCAGAUUGAGCGCUCUGCGCAUGCAUCAAAAGACUAGGACUGGCCUUCAAGUUUGGCUUCAAAUUUCCAGUUGGAGGUAGCAUUCCAGUAAUGUAGAACUAAAAAUAGAUGAACAUCCUGAUAUCUACUGCAUAAAACCUAAAAAUACGACGUUUAAAACUGUUAAACUGUUAACAAGACACCUGACGUUUUUGAAAACUGUAUCGACCCACCUUAAACACGACACAAAGAGUUCUUAAUUCGACUUUUCACCUUGAUUAGACUACAACCACAGCAACAACGACGAAAAAGUAAAGACAAAGUAAAAAUGUUAAUUGUUUUCAAUACGAUUUUAAGGUUCUGAUAACGGACAUUCUAUAUAUGUAUCCAGAGCAAGAGGCAAGGACACAGUUUCGUGCGGGUCAAUACAACAACCAUGUUAUUCAAUCCCAGAAGCUAUUCAUAUUAGCCAAUGGAAUGACCAUAUUUACAUUGACAGCACCAGCACAGAAAGUAGUCCGUACGACUGUCACACUGUUUUAUCACCAUGGAUACACG